AGCUUUGGUUCCUUCUAACAAUCUCAGCAAGUGUGAAUAGUUGACAGGUUGAUCCACUUUAGUAUCUUUAGUACUAUCUGCAAUUAGUAAAUCAAGAAUGGUGCUAAAGAGUGGUUAGAUAACAAGCAUAAAUCUAAUAAGUUCAUUAUCCCCUUCUUGACUCAGUAAAACUCUUUUGAAAACAUUUUGAUAAGACUCAUGAACACACUAAUAUCAGUAUACAUCCCCCCAGACUUAAACUACACUGUCCCUAGUGUAUAUGUAGUCGGAGUUAUGGGUAAUAACAUAAACAUAAGUACAUAAUUUAACCAGUAAGAACGAUAACUUGCUCGCUGAUGUCAGUGUCGAUCGACACAAUGAAGAGACAAUCGAUCAUUGAAUCUGAAGUGCUGUCGAU
Molecule: long non-coding RNA, 397 nt
Filed under: Brassica napus (rape)
Lineage: Eukaryota; Viridiplantae; Streptophyta; Magnoliopsida; Brassicales; Brassicaceae
Description: long non-coding RNA (BNAP_LNC024541)
Source: RNAcentral